UAAGGAAUAUUGGUCAAUGGACGCAAGUCUGAACCAGCCAUGCCGCGUGAAGGAUUAAGGUCCUCUGGAUUGUAAACUUCUUUUAUCUGAGACGAAACCCCUCUAUUCUUGGAGGCCUGACGGUACCAGAUGAAUAAGCACCGGCUAACUCCGUGCCAGCAGCCGCGGUAAUACGGAGGGUGCAAGCGUUAUCCGGAUUUACUGGGUUUAAAGGGUGCGUAGGUGGGUAUGUAAGUCAGUGGUGAAAUCCCCGAGCUUAACUUGGGAACUGCCGUUGAUACUAAAUAUCUUGAAUAUCGUAGAGGUAAGCGGAAUAUGUCAUGUAGCGAUGAAAUGCUUAGAGAUGACAUAGAACACCGAUUGCGAAGGCAGCUUACUAUGCGAUUAUUGACACUGAGGCACGAAAGCGUGGGGA
This 415-nucleotide ribosomal RNA is filed under the name uncultured bacterium. RNAcentral describes it as "bacterial SSU rRNA". It matches the Rfam family "Bacterial small subunit ribosomal RNA", at positions 355 to 767 of the family's 1533-position model. The record is from RNAcentral.